AUGUCACAACCUGCAACAUACAGGGGUAGAAAGCUCUACACAAGCCAGAAUGUGCUUAAUGUUGUUGACUUUGAUCUGAAGUUUACAUAUGUGCUGGCUGGUUGGGAAGGAUCAACACAUGAUGCUAACAUUCUUAGUGAUAGCAUGAUCCAUCCUGAUGGCAUCAAUAUCCCCGAUGGCAAGUACUACCUACGAGAUGCUGGUUAUGAAUGCCGUCUAGGUGUUCUUCCACCCUUCAGGAAAAUCAGGUACCAUCUAAACGAGUUCACUAGUAGGAACUAUUCUAAGACUCCACAGGAACUAUUUAAUCUCAAACACUCCAGCCUUAGAGUUACUGUUGGGAGGGCAUUUGGAACUCUAAAGAACAGGUUUAAGAUCCUGAAUCAUAAGUCAUCCACACUUUCCAGGUCCAUGUGA
RNAcentral lists this ribosomal RNA (417 nucleotides) under Triticum aestivum (bread wheat). Its description in RNAcentral is "partial small subunit ribosomal RNA". Lineage: Eukaryota; Viridiplantae; Streptophyta; Magnoliopsida; Poales; Poaceae. The record is from RNAcentral.